RNAcentral lists this ribosomal RNA (497 nucleotides) under uncultured bacterium. Its description in RNAcentral is "partial 16S ribosomal RNA". It matches the Rfam family "Bacterial small subunit ribosomal RNA", at positions 28 to 507 of the family's 1533-position model. The record is from RNAcentral.
GAUGAACGCUGGCGGCGUGCCUAAUACAUGCAAGUCGAGCGAACGGACGAGAAGCUUGCUUCUCUGAUGUUAGCGGCGGACGGGUGAGUAACACGUGGAUAACCUACCUAUAAGACUGGGAUAACUUCGGGAAACCGGAGCUAAUACCGGAUAAUAUUUUGAACCGCAUGGUUCAAAAGUGAAAGACGGUCUUGCUGUCACUUAUAGAUGGAUCCGCGCUGCAUUAGCUAGUUGGUAAGGUAACGGCUUACCAAGGCAACGAUGCAUAUCCGACCUGAGAGGGUGAUCGCCCACACUGGAACUGAGACACGGUCCAGGCUCCUACGGGAGGCAGCAGUAGGGAAUCUUCCGCAAUGGGCGAAAGCCUGACGGAGCAACGCCGCGUGAGUGAUGAAGGUCUUCGGAUCGUAAAACUCUGUUAUUAGGGAAGAACAUAUGUGUAAGUAACUGUGCACAUCUUGACGGUACCUAAUCAGAAAGCCACGGCUAACUACGUG